UACGUAGGGUGCAAGCGUUGUCCGGAAUUAUUGGGCGUAAAGAGCUCGUAGGCGGUCUGUCGCGUCGGCUGUGAAACCCCGGGGCUCAACCCCGGGCCUGCAGUCGAUACGGGCAGACUAGAGUUCGGUAGGGGAGUCUGGAAUUCCUGGUGUAGCGGUGAAAUGCGCAGAUAUCAGGAGGAACACCGGUGGCGAAGGCGGGUCUCUGGGCCGAUACUGACGCUGAGGAGCGAAAGCGUGGGGAGCGAACAGG
RNAcentral lists this ribosomal RNA (253 nucleotides) under uncultured bacterium. Its description in RNAcentral is "partial 16S ribosomal RNA". It matches the Rfam family "Bacterial small subunit ribosomal RNA", at positions 524 to 776 of the family's 1533-position model. The record is from RNAcentral.